CCCUAAGAUGUUCUGGGCGGCCCGCGCACUACAAUGGCGCUUUCAGCGAGUUCCUAUGUUGAAUUUUCCUGGGUAUUCUUGGAAGCGGCGUCUUGACUUGGGAUAGAUCCUUGUAAUUGUUGGUUUUGAACGAGGAAUUCCUUGUAAUCGCGGUUGAUCAGCUCGCGUUGAAUACGUCCCUGCCCUUUGUACACACCGCCCGUCGCUCCUACCGAUGAAUCGUCCGGUGAAGUUCACAGAGUGGCGGUUCGUGGAGUUGCUCGCGAAGUGAAAUGGACCUCACGAUUUAGAGGAAGGAGAAGUCGUAACA
RNAcentral lists this ribosomal RNA (310 nucleotides) under uncultured eukaryote. RNAcentral describes it as "partial 18S ribosomal RNA". It matches the Rfam family "Eukaryotic small subunit ribosomal RNA", at positions 1470 to 1796 of the family's 1831-position model. The record is from RNAcentral.